GGAAAAUUUUGACCAGUAACCUUUGUCCACUGGAAAAGAGUCUAUGUAGAAUUAGAUGUUCGUUACCUGGCUAUGCAAAUAAAUAUGGGGAUGUAUGAAU
RNAcentral lists this small RNA (100 nucleotides) under Pongo abelii (Sumatran orangutan). Its description in RNAcentral is "processed transcript". Lineage: Eukaryota; Metazoa; Chordata; Mammalia; Primates; Hominidae. The record is from RNAcentral.